UGGGGAAGUGGUGCUUGCACCAUGGUAACCAUGGCGGACGGGUGAGUAACGCGUAAGGAACUUGCCUGCGGGACUGGGAUAACAGCAGGAAACUGCUGAUAAUACCGGAUAAGGUCAUUAAGCUGCAUAGCUUAGUGAUGAAAGGAGACGCCUGCGGAGAGCCUUGCGUCCUAUUAGCUAGUUGGAGGGGUAACGGCCCACCAAGGCGAAGAUAGGUAGCCGGCCUGAGAGGGUGGACGGCCACAAGGGGACUGAGAUACGGCCCUUACUCCUACGGGAGGCAGCAGUGGGGAAUAUUGGACAAUGGGGGCAACCCUGAUCCAGCAAUUCUGUGUGCACGAAGACGGUUUUCGGAUUGUAAAGUGCUUUCAGCAGGGAAGAAGGAAGUGACGGUACCUGCAGAAGAAGCGACGGCUAAAUACGUGCCAGCAGCCGCGGUAAUACGUAUGUCGCGAGCGUUAUCCGGAAUUAUUGGGCAUAAAGGGCAUCUAGGCGGCCUUUCAAGUCAGGGGUGAAAACCUGCGGCUCAACCGCAGGCCUGCCUUUGAAACUGAUAGGCUGGAGUACCGGAGAGGUGGACGGAACUGCACGAGUAGAGGUGAAAUUCGUAGAUAUGUGCAGGAAUGCCGAUGAUGAAGAUAGUUCACUGGACGGUAACUGACGCUGAAGUGCGAAAGCCGGGGGAGCGAACAGGAUUAGAUACCCUGGUAGUCCCGGCCGUAAACGAUGAUUACUGGGUGUGGGCAGGAAGACUGUCUGUGCCGAAGCGAAUGCGAUAAGUAAUCCGCUGGGGAGUACGGCCGCAAGGCUG
RNAcentral lists this ribosomal RNA (811 nucleotides) under uncultured Leptotrichia sp. RNAcentral describes it as "bacterial SSU rRNA". It matches the Rfam family "Bacterial small subunit ribosomal RNA", at positions 66 to 896 of the family's 1533-position model. Lineage: Bacteria; Fusobacteriati; Fusobacteriota; Fusobacteriia; Fusobacteriales; Leptotrichiaceae. The record is from RNAcentral.